CAGCAGCCGCGGGAAUACGAAGGGGGCUAGCGUUGCUCGGAAUUACUGGGCGUAAAGGGAGCGUAGGCGGAUCGUUAAGUUGGGGGUGAAAGCCCGGGGCUCAACCUCGGAACUGCCUUCAAUACUGGCGAUCUUGAGUAUGAGAGAGGUGCGUGGAACUCCGAGUGUAGAGGUGAAAUUCGUAGAUAUUCGGAAGAACACCAGUGGCGAAGGCGACACACUGGCUCAUUACCGACGCUGAGGCUCGAAAGCGUGGGGAGCAAACAGGAUUAGAUACCCCCGUAGUCCCUGUCUCUUAUAC
This 301-nucleotide ribosomal RNA is filed under the name uncultured bacterium. RNAcentral's name for it is "partial 16S ribosomal RNA". It matches the Rfam family "Bacterial small subunit ribosomal RNA", at positions 509 to 807 of the family's 1533-position model. The record is from RNAcentral.